This 203-nucleotide long non-coding RNA is filed under the name Prunus persica (peach). Its description in RNAcentral is "long non-coding RNA (PPER_LNC006019)". The record is from RNAcentral. Lineage: Eukaryota; Viridiplantae; Streptophyta; Magnoliopsida; Rosales; Rosaceae.
GGAGAUGCUGAAACAUGGAGAAUAAGGGAGAGCAAGGAUCGUACUAAGGUUGAAAAAUCUGAUACCAUGUAGAAAAGGUUUAUUUUCUCAUAUCUUUCAAUGAUUCAUGGAUACAAUAUUUAUACAGUAAUGGCUAGAGUAAUAGCCCUAUACUAAUGACAGAGUAAAUUACAUAAUUGAUUGGCUUAUUUAUUGUAGUAACC